RNAcentral lists this long non-coding RNA (1305 nucleotides) under Cottoperca gobio. RNAcentral describes it as "lncRNA (ENSCGOG00000011457.1)". The record is from RNAcentral. Lineage: Eukaryota; Metazoa; Chordata; Actinopteri; Perciformes; Bovichtidae.
CUAGUUCUACCUUGGUAUCUGUAUCAACGGGUCCAACUGAAUCAGUUACACCAACCGCUGCAGAGACCACUUUGCCAACUGAACCUACAGGUUCUACAGAUACAGUAACAACUGAGCCUACCGGUACCACCUCAGAAUCUCAAUCAACCAGUCAAACUGAUGCAGCAACAUCCGAGCCUGCUGGUUCUACCUUGGUAUCUGUAUCAACGGGUCCAACUGAAUCAGUUACACCAACCGCUGCAGAGACCACUUUGCCAACUGAACCUACAGGUUCUACAGAUACAGUAACAACUGAGCCUACCGGUACCACCUCAGAAUCUCAAUCAACCAGUCAAACUGAUGCAGCAACAUCCGAGCCUGCUAGUUCUACCUUGGUAUCUGUAUCAACGGGUCCAACUGAAUCAGUUACACCAACCGCUGCAGAGACCACUUUGCCAACUGAACCUACAGGUUCUACAGAUACAGUAACAACUGAGUCCUACCGGUACCACCUCAGAAUCUCAAUCAACCAGUCAAACUGAUGCAGCAACAUCCGAGCCUGCUGGUUCUACCUUGGUAUCUGUAUCAACGGGUCCAACUGAAUCAGUUACACCAACCGCUGCAGAGACCACUUUGCCAACUGAACCUACAGGUUCUACAGAUACAGUAACAACUGAGCCUACCGGUACCACCUCAGAAUCUCAAUCAACCAGUCAAACUGAUGCAGCAACAUCCGAGCCUGCUAGUUCUACCUUGGUAUCUGAACCAUCCACAACACAAACAACUACACAACCACCCAUACCAUCAACCAAACCAUCAACUGACCCACCAACCACAUCACCAACACCACCAACUACCACAGCAACAACUCAAACAACCAUUCGACCAAUCAUCACAGUGGAGCCCCUUGUUUGCCAAAAUGGGGGACACUUCAAUGGCUCCAUCUGCAUAUGUCUUGGUGGAUAUAAUGGAAUCUAUUGUGAAUUUGUUGACACUAUUGAGCCAGAUAUAUUUAACAGGUCAGUCAUUGUUAAUGUGGUGAUCGAUCAGGAAUUCAAUACAAAAUAUGAAGACAAAACGUCACCUGAAUACAAAACCUUUGUUGGAGAUUUCACCGACCAGAUGGAAACAUAUUACCAUGGAAAGAACCUAUCAAACUUUAAAGAAGUGGUGGUAACUAGUGUGAGCCGUGGAGCCACUUUGGUCAAAUUAUCAGAUAACACUGUGGAAGAGAUGAGAUUAUCAUCUGAAGUUAUACCUAUCUACAGUAUCGCACCAAGAGCAGAAGGAUUGUCCUUUCACCGUCAUAGCUCCGCCCAUACUUAA